AGUGCGAAUGCUGACAUAAGUAACGAUAAAGCGGGUGAAAAGCCCGCUCGCCGGAAGACCAAGGGUUCCUGUCCAACGUUAAUCGGGGCAGGGUGAGUCGACCCCUAAGGCGAGGCCGAAAGGCGUAGUCGAUGGGAAACAGGUUAAUAUUCCUGUACUUGGUGUUACUGCGAAGGGGGGACGGAGAAGGCUAUGUUGGCCGGGCGACGGUUGUCCCGGUUUAAGCGUGUAGGCUGGUUUUCCAGGCAAAUCCGGAAAAUCAAGGCUGAGGCGUGAUGACGAGGCACUACGGUGCUGAAGCAACAAAUGCCCUGCUUCCAGGAAAAGCCUCUAAGCAUCAGGUAACAUCAAAUCGUACCCCAAACCGACACAGGUGGUCAGGUAGAGAAUACCAAGGCGCUUGAGAGAACUCGGGUGAAGGAACUAGGCAAAAUGGUGCCG
RNAcentral lists this ribosomal RNA (441 nucleotides) under Escherichia coli. RNAcentral's name for it is "partial 23S ribosomal RNA". It matches the Rfam family "Bacterial large subunit ribosomal RNA", at positions 1287 to 1730 of the family's 2925-position model. The record is from RNAcentral. Lineage: Bacteria; Pseudomonadati; Pseudomonadota; Gammaproteobacteria; Enterobacterales; Enterobacteriaceae.